This 292-nucleotide long non-coding RNA is filed under the name Elaeis guineensis (African oil palm). RNAcentral's name for it is "long non-coding RNA (EGUI_LNC081849)". Lineage: Eukaryota; Viridiplantae; Streptophyta; Magnoliopsida; Arecales; Arecaceae. The record is from RNAcentral.
GAGUAAAAUUAUAAAAUAAAUACAAAUACUCAAUUAGAAUCUUUUCUCUCUGCUAUUCAUUGUGUCAACUUCCAACUCUCAACUUGAAUCCUAAAUAUCAACUGAUUAAUCAAAAUUGAGUACAUAGAUCGGCUUACAAACUUAAAAAUUAUUCUUAAUUUUAGAAAAUUAAACAAUAUUCUCUAUCAAGUUAUUCUAAUGUUAACAAUCCAUCCAACCCAUAGUCAACAAGCUAUACUUGACGAGUGGAUGGAUAAUGACAAUAAAGAUAGGUGCUAUAUAUGAGUAUAUG